This is a small nucleolar RNA of Sorex fumeus (smoky shrew), 204 nucleotides long. RefSeq annotates it as small nucleolar RNA SNORA81. The transcript has a single exon. NCBI's taxonomy places the organism in Eukaryota, Metazoa, Chordata, Mammalia, Eulipotyphla, Soricidae. The record is from RefSeq and is a predicted model, not a curated record.
ACCUUCUUGUAUAAGCACUGUGCUAAAAUUGCAGAAAAUAGGAAUACAUCUUGGUUUUUGAAAUAAAGCUAGCAGAGUACACACAAGAAGAAAAGUAAAUGCACUACAUUGUAAGGACUGGAGAGGGGGGACCUCUUUCUUAAUGGCAGAUUCCCUGUGAUGUCCUUUUUUGUCUUUUCUGUCUCAGACUUUUGUACAUCUGGC